This 1802-nucleotide long non-coding RNA is filed under the name Rattus norvegicus (Norway rat). Its description in RNAcentral is "long non-coding RNA NONRATT008422". The record is from RNAcentral. Lineage: Eukaryota; Metazoa; Chordata; Mammalia; Rodentia; Muridae.
GCAGUUUGACAUGAUGGCCACUAGAGGGCACUGUGAAGCCGAGCGCAGGUGUUCACUGGGGCGGCCCUUCGACCCUUUCUCCUCAGGAUGAGAAAAGUUAGUCCUUUCGCUAGCAGACCCUCUGCUCCGCUGGAGCUGCGUCCCCCUUUUGACAUCUUGCCUUUCAUUUAAUGAAAUGACCAUCCUAAGGAGAGGCCAAGAGUAUCAGCAGUAUCCAGAGUUGGAGCUCUUGGAUUGUUCCUAGAGCAAGAGAUCUCUGCCGGACCUGUUUGCCCCCAGAGUCAAGGCUGGCUCAGCAAAGACUUCUGGCAGCCUCCUCACAUCAGAUGAGGUGAGGCGACCUAGUCUCCCUUAAAAAAAAAAGUGGACCCAUUCGAAGUCAAAAAAUCUCCAGCAUCGUGGGAUUGGGUAGAACCUUCAGGCCCCGAGGUUGAUUCUCCACUCUUCAACCAAAACUGGACACCCGCUUAGUGUCUGGGACAAUGCAGGGAAGCGCCACCCUGUGCCUCAGCUCUAGGAAGGUGCCAGCCAGCUGGUGGCAUUGAAACGGCCAGGAGAAAUUAUACUCAGUACAGGGCCUGACCCGAAACCAGUUUGUGGAGGCCAAAGAAUUCAGCCCCUUCAAGGGGGCACACAGAGACCUGGAGAGGGAGAGUGAUUUUCUUGUUUGUUUUGCUCAAAGCCACACAGUAAGUGAAGGACGAAGUUGGGACCAGAUCCUAGGGCGGUGUAUUCCUCAAAAACCAGCUGAGGGGAAGACCUUCUGGAAGAACCAGAACUGAGCAUGAAAACAAAGCCCAUUCCCCACAAGAUGUCAUAACUGGUUCCCGGGGUGCCCUCAGGGCUCAGGGUUGGCUUUUUCUCAUCUCAAUGACUUUGCAUUUGCUUAGGUGCCUCAGAGCUUCUGAGGCUGAACUCGUCCCUGAAGCCAGGGCUAUCUGUUCAUAAGGAAUACAUGGCAAGCACGUUGAGUCGAUGCUCAGAAAGAAUUAAAAAGAAGUCCACAGGUCCUUACUCAGGCGUGGUCUAUGCUCCCUUACGACUUGUCCACAGCCUGCUUUUUCUCAGUCUCUUCCUCAUCACAGAGACUGUGCACGGUCCUUUCUCAGCUCCCAUCAUUUCUAGAAGAUUCUGGCCAGAGCUUCUUCCGCUAAACGUUUAAUAAUCCCCUUGCUUCCCUCUCCCAGAUAGUGCUGACAGUGACGACCUAACCCGAAGUAUGCAAAGGGAGCCAACUUUUCCCAGCAUCCGCGGUAUACAGACAUACGAUUCAGGAAAACUACCAGGAAGCAUGCUGUCCAUUUUCCAAUGCAUAACUCAUGGAUAAAAGCCAUGCUGGUGGUCGGCAAAUUCGGGACAAAGGUUCAGAGACUUCUGAACUUGUCCAGAGCUGGUUAGUAAGUCCUCUCACCUUAAAGUCUGCCCCCGUACGGCACACGUCUUCCCACUACCAUGAUGCACCACCACCCAGAGCACGUGACUGCCAGUCUUGAUUUGGACGUUUGCCAGCUUUUGGGAUAGUAGGUAAAAUUUCAAUUUCCUUAACUAUAAAGGGGAAAGUGCACAUCAGUAACGGCUGUCUUCCUGGGUCAUCUAAAAAGAUUAAGAUGACAAUAUGUAAAAAUGACAUUCAAAUGGAAGGCACCCCUCCAGCAGUGUUGGGCUGUCAAGGACAAUAUUUAAGACGCAAUCAAUCGCUCGACCUAUCUCCUGAUAGUACCUGUGUAAUAUUAUCCACACCUCCAGUUUAAUUUUGCUACCUUUUACAAAGAUCAUUAAAGACACAUUUGCUUUAUUUCUUU